Molecule: small RNA, 573 nt
Filed under: uncultured Lactarius
Lineage: Eukaryota; Fungi; Basidiomycota; Agaricomycetes; Russulales; Russulaceae
Description: eukaryotic LSU rRNA
Rfam family: 5.8S ribosomal RNA (bases 255-408)
Source: RNAcentral
ACAAGGCUUCCGUAGGUGAACCUGCGGAAGGAUCAUUAUCGUGCAAAACAUGUGAGAGGUGCACCUCGAGGUUGUCGCUGAUGCUCGUGCACGCCGGAGCAUGUCCUCUCACAUGACACAAUCCAUCUCACCCUUUGUGCACCACCGCGUGGGCACCCUUCGGGAUCAGACCGAUCUCUCAGGGGACUCGCGUUUUCACACAACACACCCCCCUUUUAAAAAGUGUAGAAUGACCUCAUUUAUUUGAUCAGUACAACUUUCAACAACGGAUCUCUUGGCUCUGGCAUCGAUGAAGAACGCAGCGAAAUGCGAUACGUAAUGUGAAUUGCAGAAUUCAGUGAAUCAUCGAAUCUUUGAACGCACCUUGCGCCCCCUGGUAUUCCGAGGGGCACACCCGUUUGAGUGCCGUGAAAUCCUCAAACUCCUUGGUUUCUUCUGGAGACCAAAGGAGGCUUGGACUUUGGAGGCCUUUGCUGGCAUCUUUUGUCAGCUCCUCUUAAAUGAAUUUGCGGGGUCCUCUUUGCCAAUCCUCGACACGUGAUAAGAUGCUUCCGUGUUUCGGUUUCUGGCUCU